RNAcentral lists this ribosomal RNA (889 nucleotides) under Remispora hamata. Its description in RNAcentral is "LSU rRNA". It matches the Rfam family "Eukaryotic large subunit ribosomal RNA", at positions 38 to 954 of the family's 3401-position model. The record is from RNAcentral. Lineage: Eukaryota; Fungi; Ascomycota; Sordariomycetes; Microascales; Halosphaeriaceae.
GCAUAUCAAUAAGCGGAGGAAAAAGAAACCAACAGGGAUUGCCUUAGUAACGGCGAGUGAAGCGGCAACAGCUCAAAUUUGAAAUCUGGCGCUUUUGGUGCCCGAGUUGUAAUUUGCAGAGGAUGCUUUUGGCGACGUGCCUUCCGAGUUCCCUGGAACGGGACGCCAUAGAGGGUGAGAGCCCCGUACGGUCUGGUGCCUAGCCGCUGUAAAGCUCCUUCGACGAGUCGAGUAGUUUGGGAAUGCUGCUCUAAAUGGGAGGUAAACUCCUUCUAAAGCUAAAUAUUGGCCAGAGACCGAUAGCGCACAAGUAGAGUGAUCGAAAGAUGAAAAGCACUUUGAAAAGAGAGUUAAAUAGCACGUGAAAUUGUUGAAAGGGAAGCGCUUGUGACCAGACUUGGGCUUGGUAGUUCAGCCGUCCUUUUGGGCGGUGCAUUCUGCCGGUUCAGGCCAGCAUCAGUUGUCGGUUGGGUAGAAUUGUGGUGGGAAUGUGGCUCUUCGGAGUGUUAUAGCCCGCUACGCAAUGCCCUCCUGGCGACUGAGGUUAGCGUUUUCACGGAUGCUGGCGUAAUGGUUAUCAGCGACCCGUCUUGAAACACGGACCAAGGAGUCGUCCUGCUAUGCGAGUGUUUGGGUGUUAAACCCCUACGCGAAAUGAAAGUGAACGGAGGUGAGAGCUUUGGCGCAUCAUCGACCGAUCCUGAUGUUUUCGGAUGGAUUUGAGUAAGAGCAUAGCGGGCCGGACCCGAAAGAAGGUGAACUAUGCUUGAAUAGGGCAAAGCCAGAGGAAACUCUGGUGGAGGGCUCGCAGCGGUUCUGACGUGCAAAUCGAUCGUCCAAAUUUGAGCAUGGGGGGCGGAAAGACUUACCGAACCUUCUACGUAGCUGG